GAUGAACGCUGGCGGCGUGCCUAAUACAUGCCAGUCGAGCGAACAGACGAGGAGCUUGCUCCUCUGACGUUAGCGGCGGACGGGUGAGUAACACGUGGAUAACCUACCUAUAAGACUGGGAUAACUUCGGGAAACCGGAGCUAAUACCGGAUAAUAUAUUGAACCGCAUGGUUCAAUAGUGAAAGACGGUUUUGCUGUCACUUAUAGAUGGAUCCGCGCCGCAUUAGCUAGUUGGUAAGGUAACGGCUUACCAAGGCGACGAUGCGUAGCCGACCCGAGAGGGUGAUCGGCCACACUGGAACUGAGACACGGUCCAGACUCCUACGGGAGGCAGCAGUAGGGAAUCUUCCGCAAUGGGCGAAAGCCUGACGGAGCAACGCCGCGUGAGUGAUGAAGGUCUUCGGAUCGUAAAACUCUGUUAUUAGGGAAGAACAAAUGUGUAAGUAACUAUGCACGUCUUGACGGUACCUAAUCAGAAAGCCACGGCUAACUACGUG
This 497-nucleotide ribosomal RNA is filed under the name uncultured bacterium. RNAcentral's name for it is "partial 16S ribosomal RNA". It matches the Rfam family "Bacterial small subunit ribosomal RNA", at positions 28 to 507 of the family's 1533-position model. The record is from RNAcentral.